CAAUCGGUUCUUUUCAGGACCACCAUGUUAUUCUUGUGAAAGGAA
This is a non-coding RNA of Oryctes borbonicus, 45 nucleotides long. The record is from Rfam. Lineage: Eukaryota; Metazoa; Arthropoda; Insecta; Coleoptera; Scarabaeidae.